Molecule: microRNA precursor, 62 nt
Filed under: Drosophila ananassae
Lineage: Eukaryota; Metazoa; Arthropoda; Insecta; Diptera; Drosophilidae
Description: Dan-Novel-4_pre stem-loop
Source: RNAcentral
AAGGAGAAUUUAAGCAGUGUAUGUUGGUAUUAACACACAUAGACUGCUAAUCUUCUUCUAUU